Molecule: long non-coding RNA, 667 nt
Organism: Onychostoma macrolepis
Lineage: Eukaryota; Metazoa; Chordata; Actinopteri; Cypriniformes; Cyprinidae
Exons: 4
Source: RefSeq, a predicted model, not a curated record
UUCAGCCCUGGUUACCAAAUACCAGUUCUUGAGAGUAAAGACUGGCAGAGGAUGUGCUUAAAAACAAAUUCCAAAAGAGAAAGAUAACCUUUGAUUAAUGUUGAAGAAAUAAAUGAAAUUUGCUGCAGGUUCGGCAAAGAAAACAGAUAAUUUUACCAGGAGUCCAUCAAAAAUAUGGCAGCCAUUGUAGAGAUGGAUGAUCUAUCUGGCCAAGAUUUGUAUCAAAAGAGGCCAAGGCCAGUAGGGGUAAGUGUCACAGACAGAGUCUGGUGGCACAGACAGUGAUCAACGAGUGCCAAAGAAGAGCAGUUGGGGUAGAUAUUGUUACUGAGUUGAAUGAAGAAAAACAAAUCUGCAUUGGUUUAGCACACAAAGGCCUCAAUGGUUGCUGCUGUCCUGCUGUUUCCACUUCUAUUAAAGGAGAGUCUGAGAUCUCUUCAUGUCAUCAGUGAGGAACCACAUACACCCAACCCCGUGCUGUUUAUAAAGGGAUUUGCCUUGGAUGCAGAGACUCUUUUAGAAAUAAUGAUGGAAGGGGAGGAGGAGGUCUGAGAAGUAGACGAUGUGAACACGGCUCUACACUUCAUCUUCAACACUGAAUAUGCUUCAUGAGAGACACCCUGACAUUCAUUGAAAACUGUUUAAUGUAUCAUAAUGCCAAAACCAA